GACGAACGCUGGCGGCGUGCCUAAUACAUGCAAGUAGAACGCUGAAGCGAGGAGCUUGCUCUUCUUGGAUGAGUUGCGAACGGGUGAGUAACGCGUAGGUAACCUGCCUGGUAGCGGGGGAUAACUAUUGGAAACGAUAGCUAAUACCGCAUAACAACAGUUGUUGCAUGACAGCUGUUUAAAAGAUGCAAUUGCAUCACUACCAGAUGGACCUGCGUUGUAUUAGCUAGUUGGUGAGGUAACGGCUCACCAAGGCGACGAUACAUAGCCGACCUGAGAGGGUGAUCGGCCACACUGGGACUGAGACACGGCCCAGACUCCUACGGGAGGCAGCAGUAGGGAAUCUUCGGCAAUGGGGGGAACCCUGACCGAGCAACGCCGCGUGAGUGAAGAAGGGUUUCGGAUCGUAAAGCUCUGUUGUAAGAGAAGAACGGGUGUGAGAGUGGAAAGUUCACACUGUGACGGUAUCUUACCAGAAAGGGACGGCUAACUACGUG
RNAcentral lists this ribosomal RNA (497 nucleotides) under uncultured bacterium. RNAcentral's name for it is "partial 16S ribosomal RNA". It matches the Rfam family "Bacterial small subunit ribosomal RNA", at positions 28 to 507 of the family's 1533-position model. The record is from RNAcentral.